Molecule: unclassified non-coding RNA, 163 nt
Filed under: uncultured Fusarium
Lineage: Eukaryota; Fungi; Ascomycota; Sordariomycetes; Hypocreales; Nectriaceae
Description: sequence contains ITS2
Source: RNAcentral
CAACCCUCAAGCCCCUCCGGGCUUGGCGUUGGGGAUCGGCCUCCGCUCCGGCGGCCGGCCCCGAAAUCGAGUGGCGGUCCCGCCGCGGCUUCCUCUGCGUAGUAAAACACCUCGCACUGGGACGCGGCGCGGCCACGCCGUAAAUCAGACGAAUCUUUCUGAA